This 433-nucleotide ribosomal RNA is filed under the name uncultured bacterium. RNAcentral describes it as "partial 16S ribosomal RNA". It matches the Rfam family "Bacterial small subunit ribosomal RNA", at positions 29 to 507 of the family's 1533-position model. The record is from RNAcentral.
AACGAACGCUGGCGGCAUGCCUAACACAUGCAAGUCGAACGAGACCUUCGGGUCUAGUGGCGCACGGGUGCGUAACGCGGGGGAACCUGCCCUUAGGUUCGGAAUAACUCCCCGAAAGGGGUGCUAAUACCGGAUAAUGUCUUCGGACCCAAGAUUUAUCGCCUUUGGAUGGGCCGGCGUUGGCUUAGCUAGUUGGGAGGGUAAAAGCCUACCAAGGCGACGAUCCAUAGCUGGUCAGAGAGGAUGAUCCGCCACACUGGGACGGGGACACGGUCCAGACUCCUACGGGAUGCAGGAGAGGCUGAUAUAGCAAAACGGCGGGAGUCCUGAUGCAGCAAUGCCGCGUGAGUGAUGUAGGUCGUAGGGAUGUAAAGCUCUUUUACCCGGGAUGAUAAUGACAGUACCGGGAGAAUAAGCUCCGGCUAACUCCGUG